This 540-nucleotide long non-coding RNA is filed under the name Panax ginseng (ginseng). RNAcentral's name for it is "long non-coding RNA (PGIN_LNC001177)". Lineage: Eukaryota; Viridiplantae; Streptophyta; Magnoliopsida; Apiales; Araliaceae. The record is from RNAcentral.
UCAAGACAAGGAAAAAAGAAAAGGGGAAGAAGAACUACUGUUACAGCCUGAAUAAUUUCACUAUCAUAACAUAAAACAGAGUUCGAUUAAAAAAUGUAGAAAAAUUGAAGCUUUGAGGCAACCCUCAAAAGGUAGGGCUAACAGUUAUUGAACUGGGACUAAACACGGUCAGAAGAAAAAGGGAACCCUAGAUUUGAAAUCAAAAGGGAAUGCGAGGAGGAGUUGGGAAAGAGGGAGGAGGGGGAAGUAAAGACAAAAGUAAGAUGAAAUAGAAAAACUGGGAGCUUUUGAAUAAAGUAAGUUGAGAGUGAAGAGACGACUGAAUCCUUUGAAGAAAAACGAGAAACGAGAAACUACUGAAGAGAAGUCAGAAGUUGGAUCAGUGACGAUGAUAGUGGCCGGUGGGAGAGGAUGGAUCGGAGAUGGUUGGGAUGCAGAGAAAGGUUCGAGCCUUCGAGGAUGGGUGAGAUCAAAAAUAUUAUUUAUGUAACCGAUCCAACAGGUUCGGUUGUAUAAUGAUGUAAAAUUAAUAAAUGAAAU